GCAGAAGGACUCCAGGUACACCUUGACGUACUGGUCACCUAUCACCUGCAUCUUGGUUGCGCGCGUGUUCUCCAUGGAGCAAACCAGCUCGUGCGCGCACACCACGUGCCGCAGUGCCACGUCCUUGGUGGGAAACACGAACGCUGACGUGUAGUAGACGUCGGGCUCUUUCCACUGGUUCUGCUGACGCGUCCAGGCCAGUCCCGAGACCGUGAGACGCGCCUGCCACAUCUGCUUGCCCGACGCGUGAAUCACAGCGUCAGCUACGGGCAGGUGUCGGUGUUUGCGCUCGGCCGCCGACGGGUAGUGGUGCACGUUGAUGCUGGGGAUGUUCAGCAUCUUGAGCGGCAGCGCGUACACAUAGAUCGACAUGGGCUCCUGGCUGGGGCAGAUGCUUCGGCCCGUGGGGUUGUGCACGUUGACCGACACGUUCUCCACCUCGCUGCCCGUAAAGUACGUGUGCUGCACCUGCAGCUGAUUGUCGCCGCGGUGGCAUGGCGUCGAGUCGGGCGUGUACUGCGACACCAGGAUCAGCGAGGGCUGGCUCACGCGUACGUGGAUACCCGUCUGCAGGAGUCGCGUCUCGUGCGGCAGCACCGGCGUAUCGCCGCGACUAAACACGGCUUUCAGCACGUGCCCCGAAAUGGGACCCAGUACGGAUAUCAUUUCGGGACAACGGCGACCGCGCGACUCCAUGCUGCCUGCGCGUACGGGUGUAGGCGACUGAGCGGCGCGCCCUCUGCGGCCGCCGCCUUACAUAGGCAGGCGACCAAACGCGGAACCCGAAAUAAAAACGUUCUACACAGAGAAAAAAAAAAAAAAAAA
RNAcentral lists this non-coding RNA (825 nucleotides) under Human betaherpesvirus 5. Lineage: Duplodnaviria; Heunggongvirae; Peploviricota; Herviviricetes; Herpesvirales; Orthoherpesviridae. The record is from RNAcentral.